GCAUGCAAAUAAGGGGCAUUGGAUUAGUGACACGCAAUUUUUCUUUUGAGAGUGGGUGUUGUCUUUUAGCCUAGCAAAGCCAACUUCCUGCCUUUCAGGUGUUGCAAUCUGAAAGGGCUUUGCUUUGUCUCCAUCUCCUUCGUAUCAUUAUCACUCUUGCCUGUUUGUUUAUGAAUAAAUAAAUAGGAGGAUCUUUUUUUAGAAUUUUUGUUCAUAUUAUUUGCUAGAAAACAAGUUGCUAAUAUGAUGCUCCAUUAAUAUUGUUGGAUAUUUUUCACGGAGUUGAUUUGUUUGGAGUGAAUUUAGUUGGAUAAACCAGAAGUUACUGUCACAUGGGGCCACAUGAACUCGUGAAAGUCAAAAAGUGCAUGUGACGAUAUAUACAUACUCGGAAUAGUAUCGAGUGUAUCACCCAAGAUCUUAGAGCAAAGAGUGCUGCACCCAAUGUUACCAAUGGGGGUAGGUGGGGAUAGUACACAGCUAAAUUCGUGUCAGAUGUCAUUUUCAUGGAUUCAUAUAAGUCAUUAAUUAUUGCCCAUUUAGGUCUGUCCCACAUUUAAUUAAUCAAUGUAAGUAAUUUGUCUUGAAUUUCGUUCGGGAAUUUGACCUUUGGUCCCUCAAGUUUGGUGGUGUAGUUACUUUUAUCUGCUUAAUAUGCUUAAUUUCAUAUUAGUUGAUCCUUAUUUUUUAUUAUAGUUUAUUGUCUCUGAAUAGUAUAUUUGUGGUAUAGGCUAAGGUGUUCCACUACGGAUCAAUUAGUUUGAUCGUGGAGCCAUGCAGAUCAGCACAUUUGAAGGCAAUGGAAGUAGCAAAGGAGGCAGGUGCAUUGCUCUCUUAUGACCCAAACCUCCGUUUGCCACUGUGGCCUUCAGCAGAGGAGGCAAAGAAGCAAAUCAAGAGCAUCUGGGACAAGGCUGAUGUGAUCAAGGUCAGCGAUGUCGAGCUCGAAUUCCUCACCGGAAAUCCCAAGAUUGAUGAUGAAUCUGCCAUGUCUUUAUGGCAUCCUAACUUGAAGCUCCUCUUGGUCACCCUUGGUGAAAAGGGUUGCAACUACUAUACCAAGGUAUAUCUUUCAAUCUUCCAUUAUUUUAUUUGAUUGCUUGUUAUUGAAUUCUCUAGUAGUAGAUAGUGGGUGAGAAAGGGGUAGGUAGGUAAAAGGUUAGAAGAAAUGAACCGACUGUUGUUUAAUUUGUAAUUAAAGUGGUAUCAAGUAGGCCAAGGAGGACCUACAACACAUUGGUGUGCCUAAUUUUACUUCUUCCACUUGAUCUUUUGCCAAAAGUUUAGGACAUAAUUUUAGAGUAUUCUUUACUUUUGGCGGUACUGCUAAUUAUAGUGUCCCCUCGUGGCCAUUAAGGGCGCAUACCUUUCUAAUUGUCUUUUUUAAUUAGAAUCCGUGAUUUCAAUAAUACUGACAAGGUUUGGUUGAAUAGUUACUAUGUAACCACUCAAUUGUUUAACAGAGAAACUUGGAGUAGGCCAUUCUCUAAAAUAAAAUACUCUCUAUUUUUUUGACGAAAAUUUGUAAAUUGGUUAUAUAAUAAUUUGAUGUGACGUUUUUUUUUUUUUUUUUUUUUUUUUUUUUUUUUUUUUUUUUUUUUUUUUUUUUUUUUUUUUUUUUUUUUUUUUUUUUUUUUUUUUUUUUUUUUUUUUUUUUUUUUUUUUUUUUUUUUUUUUUUUUUUUUUUUUUUUUUUGGAGUA
Molecule: long non-coding RNA, 1701 nt
Filed under: Capsicum annuum
Lineage: Eukaryota; Viridiplantae; Streptophyta; Magnoliopsida; Solanales; Solanaceae
Description: long non-coding RNA (CANN_LNC009237)
Source: RNAcentral